CAGUCGCCGCGGGAAUACGUAGGUGGCAAGCGUUGUCCGGAUUUAUUGGGCGUAAAGCGAGCGCAGGCGGUCAAUUAAGUCUGAUGUGAAAGCCCCCGGCUCAACCGGGGAGGGUCAUUGGAAACUGGUUGACUUGAGUGCAGAAGAGGAGAGUGGAAUUCCAUGUGUAGCGGUGAAAUGCGUAGAUAUAUGGAGGAACACUAGUGGCGAAGGCGACUCUCUGGUCUGUAACUGACGCUGAGGCUCGAAAGCGUGGGUAGCAAACAGGAUUAGAUACCCGAGUAGUCCCUGUCUCUUAUAC
RNAcentral lists this ribosomal RNA (301 nucleotides) under uncultured bacterium. Its description in RNAcentral is "partial 16S ribosomal RNA". It matches the Rfam family "Bacterial small subunit ribosomal RNA", at positions 509 to 807 of the family's 1533-position model. The record is from RNAcentral.